RNAcentral lists this ribosomal RNA (464 nucleotides) under uncultured Rhodoferax sp. RNAcentral describes it as "bacterial SSU rRNA". It matches the Rfam family "Bacterial small subunit ribosomal RNA", at positions 917 to 1381 of the family's 1533-position model. Lineage: Bacteria; Pseudomonadati; Pseudomonadota; Betaproteobacteria; Burkholderiales; Comamonadaceae. The record is from RNAcentral.
GACGGGACCGCACAAGCGGUGGAUGAUGUGGUUUAAUUCGAUGCAACGCGAAAACCUUACCACCUUUGACAUGUACGGAACCCUUAGAGAUAGAGGGUGCUCGAAAGAGAGCCGUAACACAGGUGCUGCAUGGCUGUCGUCAGCUCGUGUCGUGAGAUGUUGGGUUAAGUCCCGCAACGAGCGCAACCCUUGUCAUUAGUUGCUACAUUCAGUUGGGCACUCUAAUGAGACUGCCGGUGACAAGCCGGAGGAAGGUGGGGAUGACGUCAAGUCCUCAUGGCCCUUAUAGGUGGGGCUACACACGUCAUACAAUGGCUGGUACAAAGGGUUGCCAACCCGCGAGGGGGAGCCAAUCCCAUAAAGCCAGUCGUAGUCCGGAUCGCAGUCUGCAACUCGACUGCGUGAAGUCGGAAUCGCUAGUAAUCGUGGAUCAGCAUGUCACGGUGAAUACGUUCCCGGGUCUU